This 323-nucleotide unclassified non-coding RNA is filed under the name fungal sp. RNAcentral's name for it is "partial internal transcribed spacer region". The stretch from base 1 to 46 matches the Rfam family "Eukaryotic small subunit ribosomal RNA", at positions 1786 to 1831 of the family's 1831-position model. The record is from RNAcentral. Lineage: Eukaryota; Fungi.
AAGUCGUAACAAGGUAACCGUAGGUGAACCUGCGGUUGGAUCAUUAAAAAAUGUUUGGUCUUGUACCAAAUGAACACCUGUGUGCACCAAAUGACUGUUUUUGGUAGUUCGAGUUGCUCCUCGGGACUCAACACCCCGAGGUGCCUACCGCUGCCCGAUUAGGUGGACUGGUUUUACAACCUGGGCACCGUCAUUGGGCAACGCGCGGUUGGGCUACCGACCAUUUGAACAAACAUUUUGAUUUUUUUGUCUGAACUUUUAAGAUUUAAUCUUUGAUGAUUAAUGAUUAAUUACAACUUUUGGCAACGGAUCUCUUGGCUCUC